GACGAACGCUGGCGGCGUGCUUAACACAUGCAAGUCGAACGGAAAGGCCCUGCUUUUGUGGGGUGCUCGAGUGGCGAACGGGUGAGUAACACGUGAGUAACCUGCCCUUGACUUUGGGAUAACUUCAGGAAACUGGGGCUAAUACCGGAUAGGAGCUCCUGCUGCAUGGUGGGGGUUGGAAAGUUUCGGCGGUUGGGGAUGGACUCGCGGCUUAUCAGCUUGUUGGUGGGGUAGUGGCUUACCAAGGCUUUGACGGGUAGCCGGCCUGAGAGGGUGACCGGCCACAUUGGGACUGAGAUACGGCCCAGACUCCUACGGGAGGCAGCAGUGGGGAAUAUCGCACAAUGGGCGGAAGCCUGAUGCAGCAACGCCGCGUGCGGGAUGACGGCCUUCGGGUUGUAAACCGCUUUCGCCUGUGACGAAGCGUGAGUGACGGUAAUGGGUAAAGAAGCACCGGCUAACUACGUG
This 468-nucleotide ribosomal RNA is filed under the name uncultured bacterium. RNAcentral describes it as "partial 16S ribosomal RNA". It matches the Rfam family "Bacterial small subunit ribosomal RNA", at positions 28 to 507 of the family's 1533-position model. The record is from RNAcentral.